AGGGCACCACCAGGAGUGGAGCCUGCGGCUUAAUUUGACUCAACGCGGGAAAACUCACCCGGCCCGGACACCGUAAGGAUUGACAGAUUGAUAGCUCUUUCUUGAUUCGGUGGAUGGUGGUGCAUGGCCGUUCUUAGUUGGUGGAGCGAUUUGUCUGGUUAAUUCCGAUAACGAACGAGACUCUGGCCUACUAAAUAGUGGUCGAAUUUUUAGUUCGACGUACUUCUUAGAGGGACAAGGGGUAUCUAGCCCCACGAGAUUGAGCAAUAACAGGUCUGUGAUGCCCUUAGAUGUCCGGGGCUGCACGCGCGCUACACUGAAGGAGUCAACAUGCACACUAACCUAGUCUGGAAAGACCGGGUAACCCAAUGAAACUCCUUCGUGAUUGGGAUAGGGAAUUGUAAUUAUUUCCCUUGAACGAGGAAUUCCUAGUAAAUGCGGGUCGUCAUCUCGCGUUGAUUGCGUCCCUGCCCUUCGUACACACCGCCCGUCGCUACUACCGAUUGGAUGUUUCCGUGA
Molecule: ribosomal RNA, 519 nt
Filed under: uncultured eukaryote
Lineage: Eukaryota
Description: SSU rRNA
Rfam family: Eukaryotic small subunit ribosomal RNA
Source: RNAcentral